This 497-nucleotide ribosomal RNA is filed under the name uncultured bacterium. RNAcentral's name for it is "partial 16S ribosomal RNA". It matches the Rfam family "Bacterial small subunit ribosomal RNA", at positions 28 to 507 of the family's 1533-position model. The record is from RNAcentral.
GAUGAACGCUGGCGGCGUGCCUAAUACAUGCAAGUCGAGCGAACAGACGAGGAGCUUGCUCCUCUGACGUUAGCGGCGGACGGGUGAGUAACACGUGGAUAACCUACCUAUAAGACUGGGAUAACUUCGGGAAACCGGAGCUAAUACCGGAUAAUAUAUUGAACUGCAUGGUUCAAUAGUGAAAGACGGUUUUGCUGUCACUUAUAGAUGGAUCCGCGCCGCAUUAGCUAGUUGGUAAGGUAACGGCUUACCAAGGCAACGAUGCGUAGCCGACCUGAGAGGGUGAUCGGCCACACUGGAACAGAGACAUGGUCCAGACUCCUACGGGAGGCCGCAGUAGGGAAUCUUCCGCAAUGGGCGAAAGCCUGACGGAGCAACGCCGCGUGAAUGAUGAAGGUCUUCGGAUCGUAAAACUCUGUUAUUAGGGAAGAACAAAUGUGUAAGUAACUAUGCACGUCUUGACGGUACCUAAUCAGAAAGCCACGGCUAACUACGUG